Molecule: long non-coding RNA, 898 nt
Organism: Globicephala melas (long-finned pilot whale)
Lineage: Eukaryota; Metazoa; Chordata; Mammalia; Artiodactyla; Delphinidae
Source: RefSeq, a predicted model, not a curated record
UAGAGAGAGGGCGAACCAGAAGGCAAUCCUCCGCACGCUGAUGGGAGGGAGAGUUAAAAGGAGAGGGACGUGAGAAGACCGGGGAGGGGAGGGAAGGAGCAGACCUGAGACGAUGUGUCCAGCCGCGAUGAGGUGGCAUCAGGGGAGGAAAGUUGGAGAGCAUUCUGCGGGGCACGCCUGAUUUUGAGGCACAAGCCCCUUGAAGACACAGGGUCCAGGCUGAACACUUCAUAGGUUAUUGCUUACUGAACGAAGGAAAGUCGUACUCAACUCUGCUUUUGAAAGUCAGCAGUAAGAACUCAGUUUGUGAUUACUUUUUCAAUAUUCUAUUGUAAGAUCCAACAAAUCACUUCUAAGGGAAAGGAAGACAUGAAAACAGACUUAGUGCAAUGCUGCCAGUGACCGGCCUGCAGCAGAUGGCAUUGGGCUUGCUUCAGCCUUAGUCCUUUUGCAAUGGGAUUUUUCCCUUCCAGACUGAGCUACUUGAGGGCAAAGACUGAUCCCGUUUUUAAAAAAAUCAUGGGGACUUCCCUGGUGGCACAGUGGUUAAGAAUCUGCCUGCCAAUGCAGGGGACACAGGUUCGAGCCCUGGUCUGGGAAGAUCCCACAUGCUGCGGAGCAACUAAGCCCGUGCACCACAACUACUGAGCCUGCGCUCUAGAGCCUACGAGCCACAACUACUGAGCCCACGUGCCACAACUACUGAAGCCCAUGUGCCUAGAGCCUGUGCUCCACAACAAGAGAAGCCACUGCAAUGAGAAAAGCGGCCCACGCACUGCAACGAAGAGUAGCGCCUGCUUGCCACAACUAGAGAAAGCCCGCACACAGCAACGAAGACCCAACGCAGCCAAAUAAAUAAAUAAAUAAAUAAAAUCAUGUUUGGGGCGGUGUCAGUCAA